Molecule: ribosomal RNA, 301 nt
Filed under: uncultured bacterium
Lineage: Bacteria
Description: partial 16S ribosomal RNA
Rfam family: Bacterial small subunit ribosomal RNA
Source: RNAcentral
CAGUAGCCGCGGGAAAACGGAGGGAGCUAGCGUUGUUCGGAAUUACUGGGCGUAAAGCGCACGUAGGCGGCUACUCAAGUCGGGGGUGAAAGCCCGGGGCUCAACCCCGGAACUGCCCUCGAAACUAGGUAGCUAGAAUCUUGGAGAGGUCAGUGGAAUUCCGAGUGUAGAGGUGAAAUUCGUAGAUAUUCGGAAGAACACCAGUGGCGAAGGCGACUGACUGGACAAGUAUUGACGCUGAGGUGCGAAAGCGUGGGGAGCAAACAGGAUUAGAGACCCCGGUAGUCCCUGUCUCUUAUAC